GUGUAAGUUAUUAAGGGCACACGGUGGAUGCCUUGGCAUUAAGAGCCGAUGAAGGACGUGUGAAUCUGCGAUAAGCCUCGGGGAGCCGAUAACUGGGCUGUGAUCCGAGGAUUUCCGAAUGGGGAAACCUGGCUCAUCUUCAUGGUGAGUUACCGCCAGCUGAAUGUAUAGGCUGGUUGGGGGGAACGCGGGGAAGUGAAACAUCUCAGUACCCGCAGGAAGAGAAAAUAAAGUAAUGAUUCUGUGAGUAGUGGCGAGCGAAAGCGGAAGAGACUAAACCUGUGGUGUGUGAUAGCGGUUAGGCGUUGCAUCAUGGGGGUUGUGGGAGUCACAGUGGCAGUUCUAACUGGCUGCCGGCAUGAUGUUCAGGAUGGUAGGUGAACGACUUGGAAUGGUCGGCCGUAGAGGGUGAGAGUCCCGUAAUCGAAAUUGUUCUGUCCGUGGUGUGGCCACCCGAGUAGCACGGGGCUCGUGGAAUCUCGUGUGAAUCUGCCAGGACCACCUGGUAAGUCUAAAUACUUCUUAGUGACCGAUAGUGAAUCAGUACCGUGAGGGAAUGGUGAAAAGUACCCCGGGAGGGGAGUGAAAUAGUACCUGAAACCGUGUGCUUACAAGCCGUUGGAGCCUUUUGGGGUGACAGCGUGCCUUUUGAAGAAUGAGCCUGCGAGUUAGUGUUAUGUCGCGAGGUUAACCCGUGUGGGGUAUCCGUAGCGAAAGCGAGUCUGAAUAGGGCGUUUGAGUGGCAUGACCUAGACCCGAAGCGGAGUGAUCUAUCCAUGGCCAGGUUGAAGCGACGGUAAGACGUCGUGGAGGACCGAACCCACUUCAGUUGAAAAUGGAGGGGAUGAGCUGUGGAUAGGGGUGAAAGGCCAAUCAAACUCUGUGAUAGCUGGUUCUCCCCGAAAUGCAUUUAGGUGCAGCGUUACGUGUUUCUUGCCGGAGGUAGAGCUACUGGAUGGCCGAUGGGCCUUCACGGGUUACUGACGUCAGCUAAACUCCGAAUGCCGGUAAGUGAGAGCGUAGCAGUGAGACAGUGGGGGAUAAGCUUCAUUGUCGAGAGGGAAACAGCCCAGACCACCAACUAAGGCCCCUAAGCGUGUGCUAAGUGGGAAAGGAUGUGGAGUUGCUUAGACAACCAGGAGGUUGGCUUAGAAGCAGCCAUCCUUGAAAGAGUGCGUAACAGCUCACUGGUCAAGUGAUUCUGCGCCGAUAAUGUAGCGGGGCUCAAGUACACCGCCGAAGUUGUGGCAAUGAUCUUUUUUGGAUUGUUGGGUAGGGGAGCGUCGUGUAGCCGGUGAAGCUGCGGUGUAAACCAGUGGUGGAGGCUAUGCGAGUGAGAAUGCAGGCAUGAGUAGCGAAAGAUGAGUGAGAAACUCAUCCGCCGGAUGAUCAAGGGUUCCAGGGUCAAGUUAAUCUGCCCUGGGUUAGUCGGGGCCUAAGGCGAGGCCGACAGGCGUAGUCGAUGGAUAACGGGUUGAUAUUCCCGUACCGGUGAAAAACCGCCCAUACUGAUAUUGUGAUGCUAACCAUGCGAAGCAUGAUGUGCAGGCUUUUGUUUGUGUGUUGUGUGGGUUGUGGGACCCGAUCUUUGGAGGUAAACGUGUUAACAGGUGUGACGCAGGAAGGUAGCCAAGCCACGCGAUGGUUGUCGUGGUCUAAGCGUGUAGGGUUGUCGGUUGUUAAAUGCGCCGGCUGUGUGCCUGAGACGUGAUGGGACCCUGUUUUUGGGGGAUUUGGUGAUCCUAUGCUGCCGAGAAAAGCAUCGGCGUGAGGUUUUAGCCGCCCGUACCCUAAACCGACACAGGUGAUCAGGUAGAGAAUACUAAGGCGAUCGAGAGAAUCAUGGUUAAGGAACUCGGCAAAAUGCCCCCGUAACUUCGGGAGAAGGGGGACCUUGAGCGUGAUGGGCACUUGCUGCCUGGAGCGUGUAUGGGUCGCAGAGACCAGGGGGAAGCGACUGUUUAUCAAAAACACAGGUCCGUGCGAAGUCGUAAGACGAUGUAUACGGACUGACUCCUGCCCGGUGCUGGAAGGUUAAGAGGAUUGGUUAGCCUUUUUU
This 2059-nucleotide ribosomal RNA is filed under the name Rothia sp. HMSC075F09. RNAcentral describes it as "bacterial LSU rRNA". It matches the Rfam family "Bacterial large subunit ribosomal RNA", at positions 1 to 1896 of the family's 2925-position model. The record is from RNAcentral. Lineage: Bacteria; Bacillati; Actinomycetota; Actinomycetes; Micrococcales; Micrococcaceae.